RNAcentral lists this long non-coding RNA (4700 nucleotides) under Gallus gallus (chicken). The record is from RNAcentral. Lineage: Eukaryota; Metazoa; Chordata; Aves; Galliformes; Phasianidae.
CACUGGAGUGCUGUUUAUUACCACUUAACUGUAACUGGUGGAGGAAAAGAAUGUGACAAAGUGACGUGUAAAGCUUGAGAUUUCAAGUGCACAUAAGUUUUGGAGACUUCUGUUUUCUUGUGCACUUAAUGUGUUUGGCAUUGUGAACAAAGGAUUGAGUGUGGAAGCACAUUGAUCUAUCUGCACCUUAGUGUUCAGAAAUGUCUGUAAAUAGAGCUGUACUUUAUACUUGUAUUCACAGCUAACCAACUUCUUCCGUGUAAACACUAUUAGCAGCUCUAACAUUGAAAACAAAUAGAACUUUUAUUCUAAUAUUUAACAACGUUAAAUGAGCAAUUACUUCUGUGCUAAGAGGCUACCUGACCAUACUAAUUUUUAUGUAAUGCUAAUAUUCAAAUGUAGUUAUCUCAUUCUUUUGUGAGAUUAAGAAAAGCAGCCUAAAGGUCUUAAUGGAUAUGCUUAAUAUUAUUCUGUGUUAACUUAAUAGAUUUCUUCUUUCAGUUGCUUCCUGCUAGCUUGUUUCUGAGUUAGGAGAUUGUACAUAAAGCAAGAGGUGCACCCCAUGGACUGCCUAACCAGUAUAAUUCAAGCUGCUCUAUACUUCAGCAUAAAGGAAAUCACAUAAAAGUUGGUCUUUCAGACUGAAUCUGUAGUCAGUUUUAUUGGUACAUCUUAAAAAGAUAUAAAGACAUUCCGGAAGUGUCUGGAAGAAUUGAGAGAAUCAAAAUCUUGCAAAAAUAUAUUUAUAGCAGACUAAAGUUCUUUUGACAUUUCAUUAAUAAAUACUUAGAUAUACAAUCCUCCCCUCCCCCCAUAAACUUAAUUUCCUUUUAUCCCAAACAACUCCUUUACCGUUCAUUCUAGCACUGUCAAAAAGCCAGAACCAUUCCUGUAUAAAAGACUUAGAAAGUUCUCCUUCCGCUUUUAAAAUUAAGAGCUUUACCAAAUCUUUGUGCAAAAAAUGUACGUGAGUACAAUUGGAUAAGAAAAUUGAAUGUCUGUACAAACGCGUGUCACGAGAACAGCGGCCUCCUUGGUCCCAUCUCCUCUCUGAAAGACAUCAGUCAUUGUCUGAACCUGCAGGGGGUAAGAAGACGAGUGCAUCACUGUAAGUGUGGCCGUAUGGCCGCAGCCUGUAAACGCCGUACAUCAUCACAUGCAUGUGGUUGGGAGACAGUCCAUUGAAAGUGAUGGCCAUAUCUGAGCAGCAGCCGUCCACCACCUGCUCAGGCCGACUAGCCAUUGCCUCUUUAAUGAGAGCAUUGACUGAUUUAGUGUUAAAAACAUCCUUUCCUUCAGAGUCCUCUGCAUUUUCAGCAAUCACUCCAGUAUACUUGAGGCAUACUGCUAGUUGUUUAUCUUCAGAAAGCUUCCAAAUCAUACCGCCUUGCUCUGGACAUUUGUCAGAGUCUUCAAAAACAUGUGAGAGUCGUCUUAGUGAUUCAAUGCUCAAAACAAUUCCUCCCUCACCAUCUACGUAUUCCAGGUCACCAGAUUUCAUAGUAUGGCCUAUGUAAAAAGGCUGCGCGGGGUCUUUCUUCAGUAAGAAAUACUUGAGAUUUUCAAUAAUAGCAAAUGUUGUUGGAUAGGCAAGGAAGAACCAGUUGAAUUCAUCUUUGUAACGCUCAUAGGUUAUCUUGUAAGCUUUUCUCAUCAUUGUCCACAUAUCAUUUGUGUUGAGGACUACAGCGUUGAACACUUUAACGUCCUCAGAGCUGUAGAACUCUGCCUUGUCGCAGUGUUUGCUCCACGUCUCUUUCACGGCAGCCCAGUGCCCGAUGUCUUUGGGUUUCACGAGGACGAUGCAGUAAACGCGGAUGCUCUGGCUGAGCUCCAGCUGUUCAUCUUCCGAAAGAUUUAACACUUCUUCUUUGUUGGGAGCCUGAAUGUGAUGGUGCUCGUGAUGAUGUGCUCUGGUCCCGUGGCCGAUCUUAACGUGUCCAAGAAGCGUGACCACCACGCAGAAUAUUCCUCCCAGCAGCACGCCCUUCAUGAAAGAACUGCUUUCGGAAAGCAUUGUUCCUGGAAAGGAGACACACUUUAGGAACCGAUAAGAGAUAAGCGCACCCCACCGUUUCCGUGCGUAAGCGUGGCGGCAGGCACCGGGCAGCCCCUCCGCAGGCAGCGCGCCCACCGCACCUUCUGCUCUCAUUCGCGGCCCCACCGGGCCGAGCCCCGCGGCCCCCGGCGCCCUCAGCCGCCGCGGCCGUGCCCGCUCCCGUUCUCCCCCGGGUCGCCGGUAACCGGCCUAGGCCCGACGCCGCCGCCCGUGCCAGGACACCGGCACGCGCCGCGUCCCGCCUCUUCCGGCUCCUGUUCCGGUUCCCGGCGGAAGUGCCGCGCGGAUCUUCCGCUCCCGGUUGCCGCCGGCUCCCCUCGCGGCGGUCGCUGGGCGGCGUCGCCAUCUCGUAGGGAAAACGGGGGGGGACGAAACGGGUGAGAACAGCAGGUGGCACCGUUUCCUCCCGAGGUGCCGUUGCGUUCCCCUGCGCACACCGCGCCGAACUGGCGGCCCCGCGUCUCUCCGCGAUGUGGCAGCAGUGGUGCCGCACGCGUCGUUCGGUUUGGGAGGGCCCCAUUAAAACGAGGGCGAGAUCUGUCCUGGUGUUUUGUCCCGGUGCAUUUCAGAAAUCCCUUGCACUUCUACAGCUGUACUCGCGACGUGGCCGGCAGGCUGUCCGCUAGUGUGGCUUCUCGCUUCAAACGCAGAUUCCUUGUUGUUUUCGAACAUGAAUUGAAGUACACAGAUCUUUGAAGUGCUUUGGUAACGUUUGUUCUUUGAAACCAGGAACGUGCCUCCUAAACGGUAACUGAUGGAUAACGGGAGGAGCCCGUUGCGCUGAGGACACCCCUGCGAUUUGUUGGGCUGCUUCGGGUGACUGGCAGUGAAUCGGUGGGGCUUCGUGCUGAGCCGUGCUGGUUUCUCUGGGCACUGACAGGCGUUGGGCACGAGGUGUGCCUGACGGGCGCCGUUUCUGACUGGAUUUUGUAACUGUAAGCUCGUGGUUAAAGAAACUUAUUAUCUAAGCAAGUCUGCCAGAAUGAGCUAUGCUUCUCAAUCUAUAAUUAAGCACACAAAUAAAUUUGACCUGACUUUAACUCACCUGCAGGUUUUACUGAAUGCGACAUGUUCCUGUGUACUGAUGUGAGCCAAGCUUGUGACCUAUGUAAACUUUUGUUAGUCUUCCUGGGUGCUUGGUAAAGUCUAAUGCUCCCUUUGCAUAGAUAACGGUUUGCACUUCUGUAUUUUCACAGGCCACAUCUGGGUUUUUUUUACCGACCAAAAAUAAAGAUCUUUGUGGAUCAAAAAUCUGGGAAUGUCAAGUCACAGGUUCCAUGGGGAGAUGUUACCCAAGUACCCAUGAGCUUCCAAACUGACAGCUUCUUUGCGGUGCUUCUCAAGGAGGUUGUCUACAACCUCAUAAUACAAUCACAGGGAUGUUUGACACGUAGCACUAUAAGGAUGCUUCACUCCUUGUCUUGUAGCAUCCAGUCACAGCAGUUAGCCUGCAGGCUGAGAGUGCUAUUUUUGCACUUUGCCAGAUCUGCAAAACCCGUCCCACUGUUUCCUCUCAGUGUUGCCACCUGCAAAUUCCUUGGUCCCAGCAGAGGACCUCUCCUGCACUCAUGGCUAGUCUCAUGUAAGAGAUGUGAUCUUCUGAGGCAGGGAGAAUCAAUGCCAACCACUGUAGGCAGGUGCUCUGCCAGCAGGGCCUCUUUUCACUGUGGUGAGUAGAGCUGCUUCUGGAAUGGGAGCAUGGGAAAUGAACAUGUGUCUGCCCGGAGAAAGAAGUAAUGCCACAGCUGUCUUUUGAGGAGCCUGUUGGGUGCUGCUGUGUCUGAUAGCAAGGUGAGAUGGAGGGAGAGGAAGAGGAACCCCCUUAUACAGCUCUUGGUACUCAAAGAGAAACACCUAACAAUUACGGUCACCCUCAUGCUCUGUCUUUUCAGGUGCUUUUGUUGUGAAGAACAGAAGUCAACAGCAGCCAAAAUGUAAUUGCCAGAUACAUGCAUCGCUUGCUGUCCCAUGUUUCCAGGGGUCUAUGCUUACCCUUGCAAACUCAAACUCAUUGCAAAGUCUGUGUGUCUGCAAGAGAACAAACAGCUGUCAUCUGGUAGCCUGGAGGCCGCCAGCCCAACGUCCCUUCUCCAGACAGAGACAGCUCUAGGAGCAGACCAUGGCACUUGGGACUUGCUUGGGAUUUUGCCUGGUGAAAGCUUGGGAACCUCCAGGGGUGGAGCUAGAACAGCUGAUGGGGGCAACUGUGCCAUGGGGUGUGGGUGCCCUCUUGUCUGUGUUAAAUGUAGUUAGGUAAUUUGGAUCCUUUAUUCAGAGCUGGGAAAGAAACUUCUGCUUUUGUAGUGUGUUCAUUCUUAUGAAUUCACACGAUAAAAGGAGAUGGAUCUGGAGGCAUUUGGAGAGGGAAUUCAAAUAUCUUUUCAGGCCAUCAAAUAUUGUUGUAUUUAUUAUCAAGCCAGAGCCACAAUUUGAUCCAAGGUCUGAAGACCAAGGAAGUUUUAAAGCAUAAUCAUAGAAUCAUAGAGAAUCAUAGAAUGGACUGAGUUGGAAGGGACCUUAAAGUUUGUGUAUAUCUAGGCCCCUGCAGUGGGCUGGUUGCCAUCCACUAUAUCACACUGCCCAGGGCCUCAUGCAGCCUGGUUGUGAACACCUCCAAGAAUGGGGCAUCCACAGAUUGUCU